AGGCCUAACACAUGCAAGUCGAGGGGUAACAGUGGUGCUUGCACCAGCUGACGACCGGCGCACGGGUGCGUAACGCGUAUGCAACCUUCCUUGUACAGAGAGAUAGCCCAUGGAAACGUGGAUUAAUAUCUCAUAGUAUCACAAUUUCGCAUGUUAUUGUGAUUAAAGUUUCGGCGGUACAAGAUGGGCAUGCGUAUGAUUAGGUAGUUGGUGAGGUAAAGGCUCACCAAGCCGACGAUCAUUAGGGGUUCUGAGAGGAUUAUCCCCCACACUGGUACUGAGACACGGACCAGACUCCUACGGGAGGCAGCAGUGAGGAAUAUUGGUCAAUGGGCGCAAGCCUGAACCAGCCAUCCCGCGUGCAGGAUGACGGCCCUAUGGGUUGUAAACUGCUUUUGUUUGCCAAGAAAGGACGCUACGUGUAGCGUAUUGACGGUAGCAAAUGAAUAAGGACC
This 455-nucleotide ribosomal RNA is filed under the name uncultured Bacteroidota bacterium. RNAcentral's name for it is "bacterial SSU rRNA". It matches the Rfam family "Bacterial small subunit ribosomal RNA", at positions 44 to 494 of the family's 1533-position model. Lineage: Bacteria; Pseudomonadati; Bacteroidota. The record is from RNAcentral.